ACAACAACAACAACAUUUUAAAAAUAACCAAGCAAAAGAACGGAUUACUUCCCAGCUGCACCCACAAUUGUGUGGUCUGAGGAGGCAUCAAUGAUGCCUCCCCAGCUGUUGCCAUUGGCUGUGGACUGCCUGUGAUGUCACAAAAGCACAUGGCAACUGAGUGGACAUAAACAUGGUCCAAGGGGAAAGGCUUUCUCCCUUCCCUAACAGAGCACAGGAGGUAACAGCUGUGGCAUUCAGGACUCCUGGAUUUCACAUGGAAUUAACAGACAGAAUGAGGAGAUCAUCCAGCAGCAAGUUGCUAUGGAGUGAUAGAAAGCAAGUUUGCUUGCUGAGUGGGAUUGCAGCAUGGAGGGGGCCGAUACCCAUGGUUGGAAGCUGUCUGGAGCCUGGCGAUGGACUUAGUGGAAGCUGGCAGAUGUUGGAUGCCUGAAGAUGGGAAGGCUUUUCUCGAGGCCACCUGUGGAAGUAAUGAAGAGAACCACAGGGCUUAAGCCAGCCAGCUUCUAUUUCUAAAGAAAUAUCUUUCUAAAUACACUGUUCAUUACACCUUC
Long non-coding RNA from Podarcis raffonei (Aeolian wall lizard), 554 nucleotides. RefSeq lists it as uncharacterized. The record is from RefSeq and is a predicted model, not a curated record. NCBI's taxonomy places the organism in Eukaryota, Metazoa, Chordata, Lepidosauria, Squamata, Lacertidae. The transcript is spliced from 2 exons.